This 442-nucleotide unclassified non-coding RNA is filed under the name Hevea brasiliensis (rubber tree). Lineage: Eukaryota; Viridiplantae; Streptophyta; Magnoliopsida; Malpighiales; Euphorbiaceae. The record is from RNAcentral.
AAAAAGCAAAACAGAAGAAAAGAAGAGGAAAUAGGUUAAAGAAGAUCAAUCAAGCAAAGAAAUGGCGAGCGAUAACGAGCCCGCGAAGUUGCUAUUGCCGUACCUGCAACGAGCCGAUGAGCUGCAAAAACACGAACCUUUGGUCUCUUAUUACUGUCGUUUGUAUGCAAUGGAGAAAGGGUUGCAGAUUCCACAGAACGAGCGGACCAAGACCACCAAUUCUCUCCUUAUUUCCCUUAUGAAUCAACUUGAAAAGGAUAAGAAGUCACUGAAGUUGGUCUCUGAAGACAAUUUGCACCUAGAGGGAUUUGCACUAAGUGUAUUUGGGAAGGCAGACAAGCAAGAUCGUGCUGGACGAGCAGAUUUGAAUACUGCAAAAACAUUUUAUGCGGCAAGCAUUUUCUUUGAGAUUCUAAACCAGUUUGGUGCCCUUCAGCCUGAU